Molecule: ribosomal RNA, 373 nt
Filed under: uncultured bacterium
Lineage: Bacteria
Description: bacterial SSU rRNA
Rfam family: Bacterial small subunit ribosomal RNA
Source: RNAcentral
ACGUAGGUGGCGAGCGUUGUCCGGAUUUACUGGGCGUAAAGAGCGCGCAGGCGGUCGUGCAAGUCGAAUGUGAAAGCCCCCGGCUCAACUGGGGAGGGUCAUUCGAUACUGCUCGACUAGAAGGCAGGAGAGGGAAGUGGAAUUCCCGGUGUAGUGGUGAAAUGCGUAGAUAUCGGGAGGAACACCAGUGGCGAAGGCGACUUCCUGGCCUGUUCUUGACGCUGAGGCGCGAAAGCUAGGGGAGCAAACGGGAUUAGAUACCCCGGUAGUCCUAGCCGUAAACGAUGGACACUAGGUGUUGGCGGUAUCAACCCCGCCAGUGCCGAAGCUAACGCAUUAAGUGUCCCGCCUGGGGAGUACGGCCGCAAGGCUA